This 127-nucleotide ribosomal RNA is filed under the name uncultured Faecalibacterium sp. RNAcentral describes it as "partial 16S ribosomal RNA". It matches the Rfam family "Bacterial small subunit ribosomal RNA", at positions 334 to 478 of the family's 1533-position model. Lineage: Bacteria; Bacillati; Bacillota; Clostridia; Eubacteriales; Oscillospiraceae. The record is from RNAcentral.
UACUCCUACGGGAGGCAGCAGUGGGGGAUAUUGCACAAUGGGGGAAACCCUGAUGCAGCGACGCCGCGUGGAGGAAGAAGGUUUUCGGAUUGUAAACUCCUGUCGUUAGGGACGAUAAUGACGGUAC